This 75-nucleotide transfer RNA is filed under the name Candidatus Acetothermia bacterium. RNAcentral describes it as "tRNA-Val". It matches the Rfam family "tRNA". From Rfam's summary of the family: Transfer RNA (tRNA) molecules are approximately 80 nucleotides in length. The record is from RNAcentral. Lineage: Bacteria; Candidatus Bipolaricaulota.
GGGCGCAUAGCUCAGCGGAAGAGCGUCCGCCUUACACGCGGAAGGUCACAGGUUCAAAUCCUGUUGCGCCCACCA